RNAcentral lists this transfer RNA (93 nucleotides) under Felis catus (domestic cat). It matches the Rfam family "tRNA". From Rfam's summary of the family: Transfer RNA (tRNA) molecules are approximately 80 nucleotides in length. Their secondary structure includes four short double-helical elements and three loops (D, anti-codon, and T loops). Lineage: Eukaryota; Metazoa; Chordata; Mammalia; Carnivora; Felidae. The record is from Rfam by way of RNAcentral.
GCCUGGCUGGCUCAGUUGGUUGAGCGACUGACUUCGGCUCAGGUCAUGAUCUCACGGUUUGUGAGUUUGUGAGUUCGAGCCCCGCGUCGGGCU